UACGGAGGGUGCGAGCGUUAAUCGGAAUUACUGGGCGUAAAGCGCACGCAGGCGGUUUNUUAAGCUAGAUGUGAAAGCCCCNGGCUCAACCUGNGAUGGNCNUUUAGAACUGGCAGACUNGAGUUUUGGAGANGGGAGUGGAAUUCCAGGUGUAGCGGUGAAAUGCGUAGAUAUCUGGNNGAACAUCAGUGGCGAAGGCGNCUCCCUGGCCAAAGACUGACGCUCAUGUGCGAAAGNGUGGGUAGCGAACAGG
Molecule: ribosomal RNA, 253 nt
Filed under: uncultured bacterium
Lineage: Bacteria
Description: partial 16S ribosomal RNA
Rfam family: Bacterial small subunit ribosomal RNA
Source: RNAcentral